This 252-nucleotide unclassified non-coding RNA is filed under the name uncultured bacterium. RNAcentral describes it as "contains 16S-23S intergenic spacer region". It matches the Rfam family "Bacterial small subunit ribosomal RNA", at positions 524 to 776 of the family's 1533-position model. The record is from RNAcentral.
UACAGAGGGUGCGAGCGUUAAUCGGAUUUACUGGGCGUAAGCGUGCGUAGGCGGCUUUUUAAGUCGGAUGUGAAAUCCCCGAGCUUAACUUGGGAAUUGCAUUCGAUACUGGGAAGCUAGAGUAUGGGAGAGGGAGGUAGAAUUCCACGUGUAGCAGUGAAAUGCGUAGAGAUGUGGAGGAAUACCAAUGGCGAAGGCAGCCUCCUGGCCUAAUACUGACGCUGAGGUACGAAAGCAUGGGGAGCAAACAGG